UCCCUUAGAUGUCCUGGGCCGCACGCGUGCUACACUGACGCAUACAGCGAGCACUUUCCAGUUCCGAGAGGCUACUGGUAAUCAUCAAUAUGCGUCGUGAUGGGGAUAGAUCUUUGGAAUUCUGGAUCUUGAACGAGGAAUGCCUAGUAAUCGCAGGUCAUUAGCCUGCGAUGAUUAAGUCCCUGCCCUUUGUACACACCGCCCGUCGCUACUACCGAUUUCGAGUGGUCAGGUGAAUCUUUCGGACUGUGGGCGCCCUUGAGGUGUUCGCGGAAAGUCAGGUAAAUCUUAUCACUUAGAGGAAGUAAAAGUCGUAACA
This 319-nucleotide ribosomal RNA is filed under the name uncultured eukaryote. RNAcentral's name for it is "partial 18S ribosomal RNA". It matches the Rfam family "Eukaryotic small subunit ribosomal RNA", at positions 1469 to 1796 of the family's 1831-position model. The record is from RNAcentral.